Non-coding RNA from Biomphalaria pfeifferi, 931 nucleotides. NCBI's taxonomy places the organism in Eukaryota, Metazoa, Mollusca, Gastropoda, Planorbidae. The record is from the annotation of a GenBank genome assembly.
UUUUUUUUUUUUUUUUUUUUUGGUAUAAUGAUAUAAAUGCACUCCAUAAUUUUUUGGAAGAGUACAAACCACUCUAUAAUGUUAUCAUUCUGUACCCAGCAGGUACAGAGCAGUCCAUUGAGCUGAGACCUUGUGGUUGUGUCUUGUGUUGUGAUGAUCACUUACUAUGUACUUGUCUAGUGGCCUUAACCUUCACAUGUUGUGCUAUACACCCAUCCACCCCAAUAUUUUUUUUUUCUGUUUGUCUUAGCAAAACUACAAACCAACUCUAGUGCCUUUUUCAAGUGAUAUCUUAUUUCUCUGUUCAUGUUAACUAAGUCUACUGUGUGUUUUUGAAGCUUACUGUAUGUUUAAUAAGCCCUCAAGUGGACUGUGUCUAUCAAGUAUAUUUAUAUACUGUAUAUUUAUAUGUAGGUAGUUAGUGAUGUCACUAGGUUGAGCACUUGUAUAAAAUACCCUAUUGCUUCAGUUCAAACUUAAUUUAUUAUCAAACCUAGAUCUGAACUUUUGUACAUUAAGACCUCUUUGUAGUUUUAAAAACUGCCCAUUUUUUGUGUAUUAAUGGCAUCUUCAUUUUCAGUCUACUUAACUUGGCAUUUUAGUAUCAACACUUUUUUACAAUCAAACAUUUGGAUCUAUUUCAACUCUUGGAAUCUAUGUAUUUUUUAAUUCUAGGUUUAUUUGAUAUGUGUAAAUAUAAACUUAAAUAAAAAAUGGAGAAGAAAAAAAAAAGCCAAAAUGUAAAGAAUCAUUUGACAUUUUGUGAUUCAGAAUGUAAAUAUAAAAAAAAGUUUGGGGUUUUGACCACACGCCUUUCUGCAUUUUAUUUGGAACUCUUGCCCUCCACAAUGUUUCACUAUUACUGCUUGCUGCAACAGAUUUGAAACUGUUCAUUUUGAUAGAGUUUUUUUUUUUUUUUUUACAUUUUUUA